UACGUAGGGGGCUAGCGUUGUCCGGAAUCAUUGGGCGUAAAGCGCGUGUAGGCGGCCCGGUAAGUCCGCUGUGAAAGUCGGGGGCUCAACCCUCGGAUGCCGGUGGAUACUGUCGGGCUCGAGUGCGGAAGAGGCGAGUGGAAUUCCUGGUGUAGCGGUGAAAUGCGCAGAUAUCAGGAGGAACACCAAUUGCGAAGGCAGCUCGCUGGGACGUUACUGACGCUGAGGAGCGAAAGCGUGGGGAGCGAACAGG
Molecule: ribosomal RNA, 253 nt
Filed under: uncultured bacterium
Lineage: Bacteria
Description: partial 16S ribosomal RNA
Rfam family: Bacterial small subunit ribosomal RNA
Source: RNAcentral